UCCCUCCUCGUGGCCGACGUCGGAGGCGUCCCCGCCGCGGUGCUUCCCCGCUGGAUCAGGUCCCUCGUCGCUUACGUCGCCGUAUCAAUUUUAAUUAGGAACCUGUAAUAUUUUUCAUUCAUCAUUUUUGUGACUUUGAAUAAAUAUACUUUUACCUUUUCCUUUAUUUGACUUACACCUUUACUUUGAAGUACGUUAGUGUAACUGAU
RNAcentral lists this long non-coding RNA (209 nucleotides) under Zostera marina. RNAcentral describes it as "long non-coding RNA (ZMAR_LNC006131)". The record is from RNAcentral. Lineage: Eukaryota; Viridiplantae; Streptophyta; Magnoliopsida; Alismatales; Zosteraceae.